RNAcentral lists this transfer RNA (59 nucleotides) under Callosciurus adamsi (ear-spot squirrel). Its description in RNAcentral is "tRNA-Ser". Lineage: Eukaryota; Metazoa; Chordata; Mammalia; Rodentia; Sciuridae. The record is from RNAcentral.
AGAAAGUUAUGCAAGAACUGCUAACUCNAUGCACCCGUACCUAAACCCACGGCUUUCUU